RNAcentral lists this non-coding RNA (1287 nucleotides) under Schistocephalus solidus. Its description in RNAcentral is "Eukaryotic large subunit ribosomal RNA". It matches the Rfam family "Eukaryotic large subunit ribosomal RNA", at positions 2389 to 3401 of the family's 3401-position model. The record is from Rfam by way of RNAcentral. Lineage: Eukaryota; Metazoa; Platyhelminthes; Cestoda; Diphyllobothriidea; Diphyllobothriidae.
CAGAAUCAGCGGGGAAAGAAGACCUUGCUGAGCUCGACUCUAGUCGGACUCUGUGAAGAGACAUGGCGGGUGUAGUAAUUAGUUGGAGGCGGGAAUCGCCCUUCGGGGUCUCUCGUUCAACACUGAAAGACCACUCCCAUCCUUGUUUCUUUACUUUUUAAAUGAAGCGGGAACCGUCCAUUAUUUUCCAUUUUGACAUUUAACACACUUAAGUGCAUUGUUCGCAUCCCGUGUGUGGCUGGCGUGCCGGCGUCUUGGUCGAAACUGUCUGGCCAGGGCUAGUGAUAUGCGUGUUUUUCCCUCAACUGCCUGUAGGUUGUUACCGCAAGUUGGUAGUCCAUAGCUGGUAGACGGUGGGCGUGUGUGUCCCAUCUUGUUGCUAUCAGGCAGGUUUGGCGAAGUGCGACCCGACCUGAAGACAAUGUCAGGCGGGAGUUUGACUGGGGCGAUGCAUCUGUCAAAUCGUAACGCAGGUGUCCCAAGGUGAGCUCAGCCAGGACAGAAACCUGGCGUAGAGUAAAAGGGCAAAAGCUUACUUGAUUUUGAUUUUCAGUACGAAUACAGACUGUGAAAGCGUGGCGUAUUGAUCCUUUUGAUCAACCGAUAUUCAGAUUUUGAAGCAAGUGGUGUCAGAUAAAGAACCACAGGGGUAACUGGCUUGUAGCGGCCAAGCGUUCAUAGCGACGUCGAUUUUUGAUCCACCGCUGUCGACUCUUCCUAUCAUUGUGCAGCAGAAUUCACCAAGCUUUGGAUUGUUCACCCACUAAUAGGGAACGUGAGCUUGGUUUAGACCAUCGUGAGAUGGGUUAAUUUUACCCUACUGAUGGUUGAACUGCGUAAACAAUGAAGUGCAAUCUGGUCGUUGCAAUGUUAAUUCUGUUUUUUACGAGAGGAACCACGGGUUCAGACAUUUGGUGCAUGUGCCUGGUCGAGCGGCCAAUGGUGCGAAGCUACCAUCUGAGGGAUUAAGACUGAACGCCUCUUAGUCUGAAUCCCGUCCAAAGAUGCGCAACGAUACAGUUUGGCCUGCCACGUGGUUGGGCAGAUAUAGUACUUUCCGGUCAGGUUUCAUUCGGAUGGGACCAUCGUGACCUACCGAACCUGGUCGGUCUGGUAUUGUUAUGCCAGACCAUGUGGGGGGAUCGACACGAUAUCCAAUUGUUUUGUGAGCGUGGUAGCACUAAAUUGUGUGUAGACGACUUAAUGUUUUGUCGGGGAGACUUGGGCAUUCGAGAGGCUAUCACACUGCGAGGUAUUGAGUCCUAUCCCUACCCGACGUAAUGAUUG